GAAGGAUCAUUAUUGAAAUAAACCUGAAUGGGUUGUUGCUGGUUCUCUAGGGAGCAUGUGCACACUUGGUCAUCUUUAUAUCUCCACCUGUGCACCUUUUGUAGACCUGGAUAUCUCUCUGAAUGCUUGCAUUCAGGUUUGAGGAUUGACUUUCCGUCUCUCCUUACAUUUCCAGGCCUAUGUUUCUCCAUAUACCCCAAUGUAUGUUAUAGAAUGUAAUAAAUGGGCCUUUGUGCCUAUAAAAUUAAUACAACUUUCAGCAACGGAUCUCUUGGCUCUCGCAUCGAUGAAGAACGCAGCGAAAUGCGAUAAGUAAUGUGAAUUGCAGAAUUCAGUGAAUCAUCGAAUCUUUGAACGCACCUUGCGCUCCUUGGUAUUCCGAGGAGCAUGCCUGUUUGAGUGUCAUUAAUAUAUCAACCUCUCCAGCUUUUGCUUGUUGAGUGUUGGAUGUGGGGGGUAAUUUUUUUGCUGGCAUCUUUUGAGGUCAGCUCCCCUGAAAUGCAUUAGCGGAACAAUUUGUUGACCGUUCAUUGGUGUGAUAACUAUCUACGCUAUUGACGUGAAGCAGUUCAGCUUCUAACAGUCCAUUGACUUGGACAAAUUUCAUU
RNAcentral lists this ribosomal RNA (608 nucleotides) under Cortinarius cinereobrunneus. RNAcentral describes it as "eukaryotic LSU rRNA". The stretch from base 252 to 405 matches the Rfam family "5.8S ribosomal RNA". Lineage: Eukaryota; Fungi; Basidiomycota; Agaricomycetes; Agaricales; Cortinariaceae. The record is from RNAcentral.